GAUGAACGCUGGCGGCGUGCCUAAUACAUGCAAGUCGAGCGAACAGACGAGGAGCUUGCUCCUCUGACGUUAGCGGCGGACGGGUGAGUAACACGUGUAGAACCUACCUAUAAGACUGGGAUAACUUCGGGAAACCGGAGCUAAUACCGGAUAAUAUAUUCAACCGCAUGGUUCAAUAGUUAAAGACGGUUUUGCUGUCACUUAUAGAUGGAUCCGCUCCGCAUUAGCUAGUUGGUAAGGUAACGGCUUACCAAGGCAACGAUGCGUAGCCGACCUGAGAGGGUGAUCGGCCACACUGGAACUGAGACACGGUCCAGACUCCUACGGGAGGCAGCAGUAGGGAAUCUUGCGCAAUGGGCGAAAGCCUGACGGAGCAACGCCGCGUGAGUGAUGAAGGUCUUCGGAUCGUAAAACUCUGUUAUUAGGGAAGAACAAAUGUGUAAGUAACUAUGCACGUAUUGACGGUACCUAAUCAGAAAGCCACGGCUAACUACGUG
This 497-nucleotide ribosomal RNA is filed under the name uncultured bacterium. RNAcentral's name for it is "partial 16S ribosomal RNA". It matches the Rfam family "Bacterial small subunit ribosomal RNA", at positions 28 to 507 of the family's 1533-position model. The record is from RNAcentral.